CAGCCGCCACGGUAAUACGUAGGGUGCGAGCGUUAAUCGGAAUUACUGGGCGUAAAGCGUGCGCAGGCGGUUAUAUAAGACAGAUGUGAAAUCCCCGGGCUCAACCUGGGACCUGCAUUUGUGACUGUAUAGCUAGAGUACGGUAGAGGGGGAUGUAAUUCCGCGUGUAGCAGUGAAAUGCGUAGAUAUGCGGAGGAACACCGAUGGCGAAGGCAAUCCCCUGGACCUGUACUGACGCUCAUGCACGAAAGCGUGGGGAGCAAACAGGAUUAGAUACCCGCGUAGUCCCUGUCUCUUAUAC
RNAcentral lists this ribosomal RNA (301 nucleotides) under uncultured bacterium. RNAcentral's name for it is "partial 16S ribosomal RNA". It matches the Rfam family "Bacterial small subunit ribosomal RNA", at positions 509 to 807 of the family's 1533-position model. The record is from RNAcentral.